This 1343-nucleotide ribosomal RNA is filed under the name uncultured bacterium. RNAcentral describes it as "16S ribosomal RNA". It matches the Rfam family "Bacterial small subunit ribosomal RNA", at positions 28 to 1378 of the family's 1533-position model. The record is from RNAcentral.
GACGAACGCUUGCGGCGUGCUUAACACAUGCAAGUCGAACGGAAAGGCCCUGCUUUUGUGGGGUGCUCGAGUGGCGAACGGGUGAGUAACACGUGAGUAACCUGCCCUUGACUUUGGGAUAACUUCAGGAAACUGGGGCUAAUACCGGAUAGGAGCUCCUGCUGCAUGGUGGGGGUUGGAAAGUUUCGGCGGUUGGGGAUGGACUCGCGGCUUAUCAGCUUGUUGGUGGGGUAGUGGCUUACCAAGGCUUUGACGGGUAGCCGGCCUGAGAGGGUGACCGGCCACAUUGGGACUGAGAUACGGCCCAGACUCCUACGGGAGGCAGCAGUGGGGAAUAUUGCACAAUGGGCGGAAGCCUGAUGCAGCAACGCCGCGUGCGGGAUGACGGCCUUCGGGUUGUAAACCGCUUUCGCCUGUGACGAAGCGUGAGUGACGGUAAUGGGUAAAGAAGCACCGGCUAACUACGUGCCAGCAGCCGCGGUGAUACGUAGGGUGCGAGCGUUGUCCGGAUUUAUUGGGCGUAAAGGGCUCGUAGGUGGUUGAUCGCGUCGGAAGUGUAAUCUUGGGGCUUAACCCUGAGCGUGCUUUCGAUACGGGUUGACUUGAGGAAGGUAGGGGAGAAUGGAAUUCCUGGUGGAGCGGUGGAAUGCGCAGAUAUCAGGAGGAACACCAGUGGCGAAGGCGGUUCUCUGGGCCUUUCCUGACGCUGAGGAGCGAAAGCGUGGGGAGCGAACAGGCUUAGAUACCCUGGUAGUCCACGCUGUAAACGGUGGGUACUAGGUGUGGGGUCCAUUCCACGGGUUCCGUGCCGUAGCUAACGCUUUAAGUACCCCGCCUGGGGAGUACGGCCGCAAGGCUAAAACUCAAAGGAAUUGACGGGGCCCCGCACAAGCGGCGGAGCAUGCGGAUUAAUUCGAUGCAACGCGUAGAACCUUACCUGGGUUUGACAUGGAUCGGGAGUGCUCAGAGAUGGGUGUGCCUCUUUUGGGGUCGGUUCACAGGUGGUGCAUGGCUGUCGUCAGCUCGUGUCGUGAGAUGUUGGGUUAAGUCCCGCAACGAGCGCAACCCUUGUUCACUGUUGCCAGCACGUUAUGGUGGGGACUCAGUGGAGACCGCCGGGGUCAACUCGGAGGAAGGUGGGGAUGACGUCAAGUCAUCAUGCCCCUUAUGUCCAGGGCUUCACGCAUGCUACAAUGGCUGGUACAGAGAGUGGCGAGCCUGUGAGGGUGAGCGAAUCUCGGAAAGCCGGUCUCAGUUCGGAUUGGGGUCUGCAACUCGACCUCAUGAAGUCGGAGUCGCUAGUAAUCGCAGAUCAGCAACGCUGCGGUGAAUACGUCCCCGGG